UCUCCUGUAGCUCAGUGGUUUAGAGCAUCCGAGCGGUGGGCGGAAGGUCAUGGGUUCGACUUCCGUCGGGAAAU
Molecule: non-coding RNA, 74 nt
Organism: Desmophyllum pertusum
Lineage: Eukaryota; Metazoa; Cnidaria; Anthozoa; Scleractinia; Caryophylliidae
Source: the annotation of a GenBank genome assembly